UGGUGUUGCAGUAGUAAUCCUGCUCAGUACGAGAGGAACCACAAGUUCAGACAUUUGGUGCGUGUGCUUGGCUGAGGAGCCACUGGAGCGAGGCUACCAUCUGUGGGCUUAUGACUGAAUGCUUCUAACUCAGAAUACCCCCUAACAUAAUGAUACUGCAGCGCCAAGGAGCCUUGGUGGGCUUGCAAUAGCCGGCCUCUCCGGCAGCUGGUGUGGAGUGCUGCUCAUGGUCUGGACUGGAGUGCAGAUGGAUGUGGCACUACCUCUCCCCUGCCAUAUACCACAUGUUCGUGGGGAACCCAAUGCUAAAUCAUCCACAGAUAACCUGAUUCUGGGUCAGGGUUUUAUAUAUAGCAGAGCAGCUCCCUUGCUGCAAUCUAUUGAGAGUCAGCCCUCGACAAUAAUUUUU
This 409-nucleotide non-coding RNA is filed under the name Anas platyrhynchos (mallard). RNAcentral's name for it is "Eukaryotic large subunit ribosomal RNA". It matches the Rfam family "Eukaryotic large subunit ribosomal RNA", at positions 3004 to 3401 of the family's 3401-position model. The record is from Rfam by way of RNAcentral. Lineage: Eukaryota; Metazoa; Chordata; Aves; Anseriformes; Anatidae.